This 484-nucleotide ribosomal RNA is filed under the name uncultured bacterium. RNAcentral describes it as "partial 16S ribosomal RNA". It matches the Rfam family "Bacterial small subunit ribosomal RNA", at positions 30 to 507 of the family's 1533-position model. The record is from RNAcentral.
AUUGAACGCUGGCGGAAUGCUUUACACACGCAAGUCGAACGGCAGCACGGGGGCAGCCCUGGUGGCGAGUGGCGAACGGGUGAGUAAUACAUCGGAACGUGCCCGGUCGUGGGGGAUAACGUAGCGAAAGUUACGCUAAUACCGCAUACGAUCUGAGGAUGAAAGCGGGGGACCUUCGGGCCUCGCGCGAUCGGAGCGGCCGAUGUCAGAUUAGGUAGUUGGUGGGGUAAAGGCCUACCAAGCCGACGAUCUGUAGCUGGUCUGAGAGGACGACCAGCCACACUGGGACUGAGACACGGCCCAGACUCCUACGGGAGGCAGCAGUGGGGAAUUUUGGACAAUGGGCGCAAGCCUGAUCCAGCCAUUCCGCGUGCAGGACGAAGGCCUUCGGGUUGUAAACUGCUUUUGUACGGAACGAAAAGGCUCUGGCUAAUACCUGGGGCUCAUGACGGUACCGUAAGAAUAAGCACCGGCUAACUACGUG